GUCGAGAAUCUUUCACAAUGGGGGCAACCCUGAUGGAGCGACGCCGCGUGGAGGAUAAGGUCUUCGGAUUGUAAACUCCUGUCAUGCGUGAACAAGGUUGCUUGGUUAAUACCUGGGCAAAUUGAUGGUAACGCAAGAGGAAGAGACGGCUAACUCUGUGCCAGCAGCCGCGGUAAUACAGAGGUCUCAAGCGUUGUUCGGAAUCACUGGGCGUAAAGGGUGCGUAGGUGGCGUGGUAAGUCAGAUGUGAAAGCCCGGGGCUCAACCUCGGAACUGCACCCGAUACUGUCAUGCUAGAGUACUGGAGAGGUGACUAGAAUUCUCGGUGUAGCAGUGAAAUGCGUAGAUAUCGAGAGGAAUACCAAAGGCGUAGGCAGGUCACUGGACAGUUACUGACACUGAGGCACGAAGGCCAGGGGAGCGAACGGGAUUAGAUACCCCGGUAGUCC
This 449-nucleotide ribosomal RNA is filed under the name uncultured bacterium. RNAcentral describes it as "partial 16S ribosomal RNA". It matches the Rfam family "Bacterial small subunit ribosomal RNA", at positions 354 to 796 of the family's 1533-position model. The record is from RNAcentral.